Molecule: long non-coding RNA, 6606 nt
Filed under: Lactuca sativa (garden lettuce)
Lineage: Eukaryota; Viridiplantae; Streptophyta; Magnoliopsida; Asterales; Asteraceae
Source: RNAcentral
AAAAUUUCAACCCAAUUUAAACUUUUCAAAAACCACCCAGUUUCAUUAAGUUAUUACAAAAAGGUUUUCAAUACAUUUAUUAUCAGAGUAUUCCCAGAACCAUAUCAUAAAACAAGAACAUGAGAAGCGGUACGAUCACGCCUUUGCCUUGCCACGGUCUCCUGAAGUACCUGAAACAUUUAAACCACAACUGUAAGCUCGAAAGCUUAGUGAGAUACCCCCAAAAUACCAACCACAUAUACCAUACAUAUAACAUGCCAUAUCAUAACAGAACACAGAACAGCCAUGCACUUCGGGUCUACUGUGUGACUGGUCCGCCCUACCGGGCCUUCAGUCCACCUAGUCCACCCUCCGAGUCUAGCUAUAUACAUCGAGUCUGCAGUGUGAUUGGUCCGCCCACACCGGGCCUUCAAUCCACCUGGUCCACUCUCUGAGUCUACAGUAUGACUGGUCCGCCCGCACCGGGCCUUCAGUCGGCCUGGUCCACUCUCCGAGCCUCGGCACGUCUGGUCUGCCCUCUUGGAGCCUACAGCCUAUCUGGACGGCUAGUUGGGCCUUCGGGAUAACCGGUCUGCCCUGGGUAUGUUGGCCUAUAGCACAAAGCAGGACCCACCUCAACCCAACCCCAAUCCAACAACCAUGUGCACAUAAACAUUCAAUCAUAUAACAAUUCACAUCCAAAUCAAACCGAUCUAGCUAAUCACAUAUCAUAACAUCAUCCUAACCAGGAUACCGACAUAACCGGUCACUAGCAUAGCAUCAUCCUAUAUACCAGGAUACCGACCUUAACCAGGUCUCUAACAUAUACCACCCUAACUACCAGGAUGCAAACAUAGCAAAGCAACAACAUAACAACGAUACCUGGAUUACAAUCCGAUAAAGGGAUGGCCUUGGUGCCGUAGACCCUGUCAAUAUAGUGAGGAUAACUCACCUCGCAACUGCUGACUGAAAAGACAAGACCGAGCUGAUCCGACCACUGACACGAUCUCCACCACCAGCCAACACCAAACCACUGAACUCAAAAUAAUUCCAACAAUUACCAAAAUACCCCUGGAAGUCAACUGGUCAACACUUCGUCAAAGUCAAAGUCAACCUCCUAACUGACUCUACUCGUCGAGUCAACCCGCUGACUCGUCGAGUCCCCAUGCUCUGAAACUCCCNCCGAGUCGCCCCAAGACUCGCCGAGUCCCACAACUCUGAGUCUAACCAUACUCAACUCACUGAGUCAUCCCUUGACUCACCGAUUCACAGCUUAACCAGAAAAAGGUUAGGACCUCACGACCAGACUCGCCGAGUCCAAGGCUAUCUUCAACCAACUCGUCGAGUUGUUCUUCCAACUCGUCGAGUCGUUGCCUGUCUUCAUGCAACUCGCCGAGUACACCCAUGUAACUCGCCGAGUACCACUAGCUCUUAACCCAUACAGAGGCUUUCCAAGCCAUGCAGGGUCUCCAAUCCAUAGAUCUACUCUUAUACAAGCCAUCCAUCAUGUAAAGUGGCAAACUUUACGUGAAUCCAAGGAGAUCUAAGCAUAAUACACUCUAGGUCUAGGGUUUGGGACUAAAAGGCUUCAUCAACAACUCUUGAACAGGGACUUUAUGCUCUUUUGGAUCAUCACUACUCUAGAUCUGAGGUAGCAACCUCAGAUCCAACCUCCAAACUCAAGAUAGCACUAGAUAAAUUCCCAAAAAUCCCACAAAUGAUAGAUCUAGAUGGGUAACAGCUCAAGCAACGAAUCCUUACCUCCAAAGAAGACUCCAACAGAAGAAUAAGCCAAAACCUUGCAAAUCCCCUUGCUCCAAGCCUCUUAGCCUUCAAAGAUCUCUUCCACAAACACUCCUUCAAGGUCCAAAUGCUCUCUAAUUCACUCACAAACGCGUAUUAGGGUUUCUGGACUUCAAGGGAGAGUAAGGAGGCUGGGGAGAGGGUAUUAUGUCCUUUAUAUAAGGCUCAACCCCCAGAAUUAGGGUUUUCUCCACACAGCACCAACUCGUCGAGUCCAGCCAUCGACUCGCCGAGUUGGCCACUUAACACACGACCAGAAUCGCGACCCUACUCGCCGAGUCCACCCAUGGACUCGCCGAGUUGACCAUUCACAUUUGUACUUUGAACCCUGAACUUGCACUCCUGAACUCAGGAUGUUACACAAACAAACAAGAUCUAGUUUUUAAGUCUCAAAAAUGACCAAAAUGCAUCUUUCUUAACUUAAUCCAUUAAGUCCAAGUCUCCGCCCUUCAGAUCUGAAUCAAUAUGAUGUUUAGAUGGAUAAAGUUUCCAACUUUAUCCAUAACAAGGUCACAAACUUUCAAUAUCUAAACUUUAUGCAAUUAACAAGAUCUAUGAAACUAAUGAGAAAGUUUGAGGCUUUUUACUCACAAUGGUCCAAAAAUGAUGUGAUCUUGUUGGAUCUAUGCUUGAAUCCUUCUUCCAUACACUUUGCCACCACCUUGUUCUUCAAGAUUCCACCUUCUAAUGGAGAAAUAAGCUCAUAAAUUAUACCACGGCUCAAAAUAAGUGAGAUGAGGCUAGGGUUUCGAGUCAGAGACUUAAGAGGGUGGAGACUCAUGAUAGGAAGGACCCCCUAGGGGUUAGAGACCUUAAAUAUGGCUCAAAACCCUGAAAUUAGCGUUUUUACACUGCGGAAUUGCGUCAUGCGUAACUUUGGGUACGUCCUACGUACUCCACUAAAAACACAUCCCACCCUCAGCAUGUACGCCCUGCAUACUCCCUUGUAUACGCGUUGCGUACUACCAGACACCCUUUGCCUAACUUUAAACAGCCAUAACUUCUUGUUUCAACUCCGUUUUUGAUGAUCUUUAUAUACACAAAAAGGUAUCGACGAGCCCCACCACUCUAUCUAGUUACUUAUGACUAAAAACAUCUCGAACUAAAAUCUGUAAUUUAUGCAAGAAGCCUAAAACAUUACCUUUCCCAUUUUAUUCCUUAGCUUACAACGAACAAUCCAAGGUUUAAAUUACUUAUCCAACACCAACAACAUCCAAUAGAGUCUAAACUCCAUUCCCUUAAAACCCAAGGCCUUACAUGGUCGGAUUACGAUCCACAAACCCUGAAUUAAGAAACGUCCCAAAACAAGAUAUCACAACUUCUUGCAUGUGUAACGUACCGAGGUCCCAUAUUACGUAUGACAAUUGGUUUAACCUUGUCAUGGGUUCAUCAGGGAAGCGACAAUNNNNNNCCCCCCUCAUGACCAGUUGUGUCUAACCUGCUAUUGUCCCCUUCAUUGUCAAACUCUUCAGUGACUUGGCCAGACAACGACUAGACUAAUAACGUCAUUAAUUUAGACGGGGCCCUUUUGAAUAAGGGUGGCAAUUGAUGACACAUCAUAAUAAAAAUACACGCCACGAAAUGAAAUUUGGACGAAAAUGAAAUUUGAAUUCAUGUUCGUGUUAUGUUUGUGUUAAGUGUAAAAAACACGAUAUCGCGUUGUGUCGUAUUUGUGAUCGUGUUCAAAAUUCAACACGAUUUAGCAUUUUUUUGACAUGUUUUUUCGCUUUUGUCGUGUUAUGUAUGAUUAAAUAUUAGUUAAAUAAACUAAUUGUUAUAUUAUGUUAUCUUUGUCAUGUCGUGUCGUGUUUGUCAUUUUUUAAUUGGUACAUUUUUGUGUUAGUUAAAAAAACACGACUUCGUGUGGUGUCGUAUCAGAAGGAAAAAAAAAAUAAAAAAUAAAAAAAAACGACAUGAUGGCUCAUUUUGUCACCCCUACUUUUGAACCUAAUGACAAGCUAAUCUAGUGGCAUGGUCUUCGUCUUCUCGGUCAACACGUUCAUUAGAUAUUUGCCCAUGACAAUGGGCUAUAUAACGAAGAGGGCCUUGACCCUUGAGUAUUGGGUACUUGUAGUGACUAGUGAGUGAUUGUACAUAUCGAUACCAUUAACAUAAAAACAUAUUAAAUUGUGUUGAAAAAAUUGAUAUGAAUGGUCUUUAUAGUUGUAAAAUUUAGUUGACCAAUUAUCAUGGUGAUUUAGUCAGUUUAAAUUAUCAUUGCUAGGAGACAAAUUUUAUCUUAAUCCGGAACAUAAGCAACUAUUCAUUUUCACCGUUUUGUCUGGAUCUUGUUUUGGGUUCUUAGUGAGAUUCCACAUGCGGAACUAUUCAUGUUCUCGAGUUUUAUCCCAUUGAUGAUUCAUUGAUGCCUUGUUCUCGAGUUACAAUUAAGGAAAGGGAAGGUAAAGAAAUCGAUGAAAAAAUAAUGGAAAAAGAAUUGAUUAGGUGUGUUCUAAAGUUGGAAAGAAAUUUAUGUUAUCAUGUUGAAAAAAAAAACAUUUUUUUUUAUAUUUUUGCCCUUCAUUUGUUAAUAAAACAUUAAACAAUAUUCUAAGUGUUACAAAAUGGACUUUGGCAUAGCGGUAUCAUAGGGAUAGGAACCCUUUAGCAUAAGUUGAGGGUUUAUAUCUUGCUUCGGAUAAAAUGUGUAGAUUUAAGACUAAAAUAGUAGGUGUAUGUAAGGUAUAUAAUAAUAACUAAAGUUGUAUGCAAUGUGUUGAUUAUUAGAAAAAAGAUAAAGCACAAGUAUUUCUUUGUUUCUGUGUAGAUUUGAUCUUGAAUUUUAAUAUUAAACCUUCUUUCGUCUUUUUGAUUGUUCUUCUUAGUUGUGGGUUUGUUCUAUUUGAUCUUCAAAAAAAAUCUGGGUUACUUGCAAAAAAUGAAGACGAACAAACUUGCAAAAAGAGUGGGUUUCACAGGCUGAAGAUGACUAUAUUCGAUUGUAUUGAUGUUUAAAUGUGUUUUGAUAUUCCUUUUCUUAAAUCCAUAAUAUCAAUGUUUAUGAUUAUGUUUGGAAUUCAUUUUGGUUGAUUUGAAUUGGUUUUAAGCUUCAUCUUCUUGAAUCAAUAAAAAUUUAUUCAUCGUCUUCUCAGCUUAUUUAACCAAAAAAUUAAACACAAAGAAAUCAGAUGAAUCAAAAUAAAUAACCUACAUAAUUUAUUGGAUGUUCUUUGCAGUCUUUUGUACCUGACAGAACCUACUCCAACUUUUUGCUAAACACAAAGACCAAAUUUGCACCAUUACUGAUUUACCAUAAUAGAAAUCUUUUGAAAUGUCAUCAUACAAAUAUCAAUAUUUCAUGAUCUUAUUAAUUAGUAGGUCAUUAAUUGGUUUACUAGCAAGCAUACAAAGAAAUGCAAAAAAGGUUUUCUGUCAAAUCUUGUAUUUCAUGCAUGUGGGCCGGGUUAUGGCUUUGACAAGAGUGGGAUGCAAAAUUGGAAGAAAGGUUAUGUCUUGCCUAAGAUAUAGCUAGGUAGAUCUCAACAUUCAACAACAAGCCUAAUCAUUUAACUGCUAAAGAAGUCGAAGAGCAUGAUGUUUAAUGGAAGCUGCAAAUAAUUUGCUUCAUCUAAGAACUACAUCUUAAUUAAUGAUGAAAUAAAAAAUGUAAUAUUUUACCUAACAACUAGAUAGAUACAUGCCUUCAUUUGUGUCAUCCACUUCUCAAAGCAUUUCAACCAGGAGUUGUGUCCACAUGGAGUCUGCAAGANAUAUAUAUUCUAAUCUAAUUGUCAUAUAACAAAAUGUAUCAAUUAAUCCAGAAUAUGUAUGACAUUACUUCUUAUUCUUUUGAAUAAUAAUUAACAGAUCAUGAAUGGAGAAUCCUUAGCUACAUGAGAUCACAAUCUCAGUUAAUAAACAGGAUCGAGUUUAUAAUCUUCAUCAUCAUCUGUACCACUUUAAUUUGAAGCAACAACAUAAAUUUGGAAAAUUUAUAACUUCUCAAAACGUUGAUCUCAAACUGUUUUCACCAUGAACAUUAGUCAUGGCAACAACUAUCACGUCAUCAUUUUUGGUCAGAAGAUUACUGAUAUAUGAAGUCUCACUUUCCUAAUGAGACACAAUGAUCGCCAUUUGUACAAAUUUAGGCUUGUUCAAACUUUCAAAUCCAUCUACAAAAUUGUCCUUAAAAAAAAUCAGAAAAGAAAAAAACACAAUAACACCAGUACGUUUCUAUCGUCUAUCAAUAUAAUGCAGCAGUCAAUAAUUUCAAACUUAAAUCAUCUAUGAUGUACAAAAUAGCAAUCGAUAAAUGCAAAUUCCGAACUCAAAGAAUGAAAUAAGGGUUCUUCAUCGCUCAAAAAAAAAUACAGAGAAUUAUACCUUUAGUUGCUGGAAUAAGGAUCAGUAAGGAGUAGCAUCAUCUUCAAAUCGAUGACUCUUCGGUAGAAACGAGAAAAUCGCUAGAAAAUAUGGCAAAUCGGCUAACGAAACUUGAUAUUCUAGAUAAAUACAUUUGAAGAAGCGUCCCACAUCGGAUUUGUGAUAAAAUAAAAAGGGAUUUAUUAACUAAACUGGAAGACAAUAUGACGUGUUCGUAAGAAGGAGAGAUGGUUGGCAUCUCCCCUGACAGGGACGGGAACAGCCUUCGGGCUUACCUGUUACCACACAUCCGGUUAAGGCUACCCACUUCGGUGGAUCUAUAACCCAAUUUUUUUUUCCCCCAAUUCUACUUUACUAAAUAAUCUUUUUGCUUUUAUAUACAACUCUUCUUUUUAACUUUACCUUUAUAUAACCGGUUUUUUAUUUCUUCUUUUGAACUUUACUAGUAACUAAAUUAAUUUUGUUUGGUUCUGAUGUAACCAGUAGAAUAUAAUAUUUGCU